CCUACGGGUGGCAGCAGUGAGGAAUAUUGGUCAAUGGACGAGAGUCUGAACCAGCCAAGUAGCGUGAAGGAUGACUGCCCUAUGGGUUGUAAACUUCUUUUAUAUGGGAAUAAAUUGUUCACCGUGUGGGAUUUUGUAUGUACCAUAUGAAUAAGGAUCGGCUAACUCCGUGCCAGCAGCCGCGGUAAUACGGAGGAUCCGAGCGUUAUCCGGAUUUAUUGGGUUUAAAGGGAGCGUAGGUGGAUUGUUAAGUCAGUUGUGAAAGUUUGCGGCUCAACCGUGAAAUUGCAGUUGAAACUGGCAGGCUUGAGUACAGUAGAGGUGGGCGGAAGUCGUGGUGUAGCAGUGAAAUGCUUAGAUAUCACGAAGAACUCCGAUUGCGAAGGCAGCUCACUGGACUGCAACUGACACUGAGGCUCGAAAGUGUGGGUAUCAAACAGGAUUAGAUACCCUUGUAGUC
This 460-nucleotide ribosomal RNA is filed under the name uncultured bacterium. RNAcentral's name for it is "partial 16S ribosomal RNA". It matches the Rfam family "Bacterial small subunit ribosomal RNA", at positions 338 to 795 of the family's 1533-position model. The record is from RNAcentral.